RNAcentral lists this ribosomal RNA (433 nucleotides) under uncultured bacterium. RNAcentral's name for it is "partial 16S ribosomal RNA". It matches the Rfam family "Bacterial small subunit ribosomal RNA", at positions 29 to 507 of the family's 1533-position model. The record is from RNAcentral.
AACGAACGCUGGCGGCAUGCCUAACACAUGCAAGUCGAACGAGACCUUCGGGUCUAGUGGCGCACGGGUGCGUAACGCGUGGGAACCUGCCCUUAGGUUCGGAAUAACUCAGAGAAAUUUGAGCUAAUACCGGAUAAUGUCUUCGGACCAAAGAUUUAUCGCCUUUGGAUGGGCCCGCGUAGGAUUAGCUUGUUGGUGGGGUAAUGGCCUACCAAGGCGACGAUCCUUAGCUGGUCUGAGAGGAUGAUCAGCCACACUGGGACUGAGACACGGCCCAGACUCCUACGGGAGGGAGCAGUGGGGAAUAUUGGAAAAUGGGCGAAAGGAUGAUCCAGCUAUGCCGCGUGAGUGAUGAAGGCCUUAGGGUUGUAAAGCUCUUUUACCAGGGAUGAUAAUGACAGUACCUGGAGAAUAAGCUCCGGCUAACUCCGUG